Termitomyces sp. T32_za158 is the source of this 80-nucleotide non-coding RNA. Lineage: Eukaryota; Fungi; Basidiomycota; Agaricomycetes; Agaricales; Lyophyllaceae. The record is from the annotation of a GenBank genome assembly.
GGGGGCAUAGCUCAGUUGGGAGAGCAGCAGACUGAAGUGCAUCUUUCUGAAGGUCCCGCGUUCAAUCCGCGGUGCCCCCA